CCUACGGGAGGCAGCAGUGAGGAAUAUUGGUCAAUGGACGAGAGUCUGAACCAGCCAAGUAGCGUGAAGGAUGACUGCCCUAUGGGUUGUAAACUUCUUUUAUAUGGGAAUAAAAUGUUCCACGUGUGGGAUUUUGUAUGUACCAUAUGAAUAAGGAUCGGCUAAUUCCGUGCCAGCAGCCGCGGUAAUACGGAGGAUCCGAGCGUUAUCCGGAUUUAUUGGGUUUAAAGGGAGCGUAGGUGGAUUGUUAAGUCAGUUGUGAAAGUUUGGGGCUCAACCGUAAAAUUGCAGUUGAAACUGGCAGUCUUGAGUACAGUAGAGGUGGGCGGAAUUCGUGGUGUAGCGGUGAAAUGCUUAGAUAUCACGAAGAACUCCGAUUGCGAAGGCAGUUCACUGGACUGCAACUGACACUGAGGCUCGAAAGUGUGGGUAUCAAACAGGAUUAGAUACCCGUGUAGUC
RNAcentral lists this ribosomal RNA (460 nucleotides) under uncultured bacterium. Its description in RNAcentral is "partial 16S ribosomal RNA". It matches the Rfam family "Bacterial small subunit ribosomal RNA", at positions 338 to 795 of the family's 1533-position model. The record is from RNAcentral.